This 370-nucleotide unclassified non-coding RNA is filed under the name Hevea brasiliensis (rubber tree). The record is from RNAcentral. Lineage: Eukaryota; Viridiplantae; Streptophyta; Magnoliopsida; Malpighiales; Euphorbiaceae.
UUCACCAGAGUCAGGGCUUAUGUAUAUAGGAACCAGCCCUUCUACCUUUGGUAGGUUCUUCAUAUGCUCUAAAACCUUCAUAGCUUCCAUGCUGUACUUUGGAUCACCACAAACUGUACUGAGAUAAUUGAACUCAAGCUGCAAAGUUGAGACUUCUGAAGUACUACUCAAACCAUCAGGAGCGCGAUGUGCUGAGGGAUCGUGUAGAACAACAUCACUAAAGGGAAUAGGAGUUGGACUGGAAGUAAAAGCCACUAGCAGACGAUCAGCUAACUUUCUAGCAGUUUCUAGAUAAAAAAUUGGUUUUGGCCCCUCACGCAUAGAGUUAGUCUGUUGUCCCCCUCCGCUUAAAUGAUAUGCACUUAAAAGA